AAGCUCGUAGUUGAAUUUCGAAUGUGGCUGGGCGGUCCGCCUCACGGUGUGUACUGUCUGGCUGUGUUCUCUUUCUUGGUGAGCCGGCAUGCCCUUUACUGGGUGUGUUGGGGAACCAGGACGUUUACCUUGAGAAAAUUAGAGUGUUCAAAGCAGGCCUACGCCCGAAUACAUUAGCAUGGCAUAAUAAAAUAGGACGUGCGGUUCUAUUUUGUUGGUUUCUAGAGCCGCAGUAAUGAUUAAUAGGAUAGUUGGG
RNAcentral lists this ribosomal RNA (256 nucleotides) under uncultured Basidiomycota. RNAcentral describes it as "partial 18S ribosomal RNA". It matches the Rfam family "Eukaryotic small subunit ribosomal RNA", at positions 624 to 885 of the family's 1831-position model. The record is from RNAcentral. Lineage: Eukaryota; Fungi; Basidiomycota.